AAUAUUGUACAAUGGGUGCAACCCUGAUACAGCCAUGCCGCGUGUGUGAAGAAGGNCUNNGGAUUNUNAAGCACUUUAAGUAGNNNNNAAGGGCGUUAGNUUAAUACGCUGACGUUUUGACGUUACCAACAGCUUAAGCACCUGCUAACUCGGUGCCAGCAGCCGCGGUAACACAGCUGGUGCAAUCGUUAAUCGGAUUUACUUGGCGUAAAGCGCGCGUAGGUAGUUCAUUAACAUGGGUUGGAAAUCCCCGAGCUUAACCUGGGAACUGCUUUCAUAACUGCUGAGCUAGAGUACGGUAUAGGGUAGUGGAAGUUCCUGUGUAGCGGUGAAAUGCGUAGAUGUAGGAAGGAACACCAGUGGCGAAGGCGACUACCUGGGCUAAUACUGACACUGAGGUGCGAAAGCGUGGGGAGCAAAC
Molecule: ribosomal RNA, 421 nt
Filed under: uncultured bacterium
Lineage: Bacteria
Description: partial 16S ribosomal RNA
Rfam family: Bacterial small subunit ribosomal RNA
Source: RNAcentral